GAUGAACGCUGACAGAAUGCUUAACACAUGCAAGUCCACUUGAACUUCGGUUUGGGUGGCGGACGGGUGAGUAACGCGUAAAGAACUUGCCUCACAGAUAGGGACAACAUUUGGAAACGAAUGCUAAUACCUGAUAUUAUGAUUAUAUGGCAUCGUAUAAUUAUGAAAGCUAUAUGCGCUGUGAGAGAGCUUUGCGUCCCAUUAGCUAGUUGGGGAGGUAACGGCUCACCAAGGCGAUGAUGGGUAGCCGGCCUGAGAGGGUGAUCGGCCACAAGGGGACUGAGACACGGCCCUUACUCCUACGGGAGGCAGCAGUGGGGAAUAUUGGACAAUGGACCAAGAGUCUGAUCCAGCAAUUCUGUGUGCACGAUGAAGUUUUUCGGAAUGUAAAGUGCUUUCAGUUGGGAAGAAAAAAAUGACGGUACCAACAGAAGAAGUGACGGCUAAAUACGUG
Molecule: ribosomal RNA, 454 nt
Filed under: uncultured bacterium
Lineage: Bacteria
Description: partial 16S ribosomal RNA
Rfam family: Bacterial small subunit ribosomal RNA
Source: RNAcentral